RNAcentral lists this ribosomal RNA (461 nucleotides) under uncultured Gammaproteobacteria bacterium. RNAcentral describes it as "bacterial LSU rRNA". It matches the Rfam family "Bacterial large subunit ribosomal RNA", at positions 1 to 505 of the family's 2925-position model. Lineage: Bacteria; Pseudomonadati; Pseudomonadota; Gammaproteobacteria. The record is from RNAcentral.
UAUAGUCAAGUAAUUAAGUGCAUGUGGUGGAUGCCUUGGCAGUCAGAGGCGAUGAAAGACGUGAUAGCCUGCGAAAAGCUCCGGGGAGGCGGCAAAUAUCCUUUGAUCCGGAGAUUUCUGAAUGGGGGAACCCACCCGCUAUAAGGCGGGUAUCAUAAACUGAAUACAUAGGUUUAUGAAGCGAACGAGGGGAAGUGAAACAUCUCAGUACCCUUAGGAAAAGAAAUCAAUUGAGAUUCCCUUAGUAGCGGCGAGCGAACGGGGAGCAGCCCAUUAAGUUAUGUGUGUUUUAGUGGAACGCUCUGGGAAGUGCGAACGUAGAGGGUGAUAUUCCCGUACACGAAAGGGCACACAUAAUGAUGACGAGUAGGGCGAGGCACGUGAAACCUUGUCUGAAUAUGGGGGGACCAUCCUCCAAGGCUAAAUACUCCUGACUGACCGAUAGUGAACCCAGUACCGUG